RNAcentral lists this ribosomal RNA (492 nucleotides) under Zerynthia rumina (southern festoon). RNAcentral's name for it is "partial 16S ribosomal RNA". Lineage: Eukaryota; Metazoa; Arthropoda; Insecta; Lepidoptera; Papilionidae. The record is from RNAcentral.
UUUUGAGAAUAAUUUAAAGUCUAAUCUGCCCCCUGAUUGUAAAAUUAAAGGGCUGCAGUAUUUUGACUGUACAAAGGUAGCAUAAUCAAUAGUCUCUUAAUUGGUGACUUGUAUGAAAGAUUUGAUGAAAUAUAAACUGUCUCUAUUAAAUUUAUAAAAUUUAAUUUUUUAGUUAAAAAGCUAAGAUUUUUUUAAAAGACGAGAAGACCCUAUAGAGUUUUAUAAUUUAUUUAUUUUUAAUUUUGUUUAAAUAUUAAAAUUAUAAAUAAAUAAAUUAUUUUAUUGGGGUGAUAGAAAAAUUUAAUAAACUUUUUUUAAAAAUUUUACAUUAAUCUAUGAUUAUAUGAUCCGUAAAUUACGAUUAAAAGAUUAAAUUACCUUAGGGAUAACAGCGUAAUUUUUUUUUUUAGUUCAAAUAAGAAAAAGAGUUUGCGACCUCGAUGUUGGAUUAAGAUAAAAUUUAUAAUGCAAAAGUUUAAAAUUUUUGAUCUG